GGAUCGUGAAGACACAGAGAGAGGCUGUCUGAGAUACAGCCUAUAAGAAGACUGGGUUAAGGAGAACCAGGAAAGACAGGGGCUUUGCACCUUUAUGAUGGCACUGCACAUUGAUGUUUCCAGUGUUUGGAAACAGAAUACAGCUCAACAGCAUGGUUGCUGCAUCAUCUGUCGGACCAUUGCCCUGAGACUGAAGGGGAGAAUAGGGGAGAACUCAUCAUGGGAUGCCAUCUUCCCCUGUGUCAUCCACAAUGGGCAAUGUCAACCUAAUGGAUUCAAAGUCAGAAAGUGUGAUUUCCAGGGAGAGCUUCAGCACACUGCAGUAAAGCUCUGGGUAAUGAAGUCUAUGCCACUUUUCAUUUCCUCUGAGCAGAUUUUAUUUUCCUGUGAUGACUAUGAUGUAUGUACAAGCAAAAUGUCUCUCUCCCUCUCCCUCUUCCCCCGC
Molecule: long non-coding RNA, 445 nt
Organism: Hemicordylus capensis (graceful crag lizard)
Lineage: Eukaryota; Metazoa; Chordata; Lepidosauria; Squamata; Cordylidae
Exons: 3
Source: RefSeq, a predicted model, not a curated record